GAGGGUAUAGCGCAGUGGUAGAGGGCAUGCUUAGCAUGCAGGACGUCCUGGGUUCGAUCCCCAGCACCUCCA
This 72-nucleotide transfer RNA is filed under the name Camelus dromedarius (Arabian camel). It matches the Rfam family "tRNA". From Rfam's summary of the family: Transfer RNA (tRNA) molecules are approximately 80 nucleotides in length. Their secondary structure includes four short double-helical elements and three loops (D, anti-codon, and T loops). The record is from Rfam by way of RNAcentral. RNAcentral also lists the same sequence under 1 other name. Lineage: Eukaryota; Metazoa; Chordata; Mammalia; Artiodactyla; Camelidae.